GAAAAAUCAUUGUGGCAGCCGUUAGUAAACGUUUAUAACGGCCGUUCGGUAGUGGGAAAUUAAAAGAAAAGAAAUAGAAGCUCGGUUUGCUCUCCAAUCCCGUUCCCGUGCCCAUGGGGCUCUUGGCCGAGACGCCUCUCUUCGUCGACACCAACCUCGGCACUCGCUUCGCCUUAUCCGUCCCUGAUAACAUCACGGCCGGCGAUCUGAAACGUAAACUCAAGUGUGAGCACAACUCUUGUUUCCCAGCCCUCGGAAAAAUUGUUGUCCAUUCUCUCAUGGUAAAACAAAAAUCUUUUCUCUAUCAUAUCCCAGACUCCAUGCCAAUAAAGGAAGCCUGUCAAGGAUUUCGCAGCACUUGGUUUCUUCGAAUGGAUGCUACUAGGUUGACAGACAUAUCCAUGCACCAAGCAUCAAUACCUUCCUCGAUGAACCACUUCAGAAGACGAGAUUCUCCUUAUCUGGAAGAAACUGUCACGCCAAAUUCCUACAAGUUACCAGCUUCAAGCAACUCAAAUUGUUGCACACCUGGGGGCCGAUUCGGAUGCACUGAAGUUGACAUGGAUCACAUAUUAGAAGGGUCCAUUUCCAACAUGAUUGAUUGUAGCAAUGCUUCAAAGGCAGUGGAUUUUACCAUAUCUACAGUUACAGCUACAAAUAUGAUAAAUCAGGCAGGUAAUAUUGUGAGAGAUUGCUCGACAUGGGACGAAAGAGAAGUCGAUGUGCCUUCCUUGCCACUUAUAAGCCAGAAGAGUCUGUCGAAGAGGAGGAAAUUGGAACAUGGCAUUCAAGGGAAUGUUGUUGGAAAAGAAGCUGUAAUCAGCAAUAAAACCAGAAAAUCUGGAGUUAGUUCUAGUUUGGAUUCUGGGAAAGAGGUUCGAAAAGAUAAUACUGCUCCAAAUGCAACUCAAAAGGACAAAGCUUGGGUAUCAGAAGGGCCAUCAGAAAAAGAGCAACACAAGAAUUCUUUAUCAAUGGAAGAAACUCCCAGCAUGAAUUUGUCAGAGAAAAUAUCUGUUACCGGUCUUAUUUCAAGAUACUUCUCUAACCAAGAUGAGGCGAGCACGUGCAGUAAUCUGCACAAAAAUGUGAUGGACACUCAGAGUGUAACCGUGCAACCCACCAGUAUGCUGAAUACCCAAGAAUUUCAUCUAAAUGAAGCAACUGGUUUUGCAAUGAAAGAUGUGCAAAGUUCGGCAGACGAUAAAAGCUCAAAUGAAGGUGAAUCAGACUGUAAUACGGCUUGUUCCUUCAAUAUCAACAAAGAAACAAAGCAAGUUUGUCUCAUGAGCAAUAAUGUCAGAAAAAUUGCCAAGAGCAAACCAACUACUUCUGAAGGCAGGGUACGACCAAGUGCUAUCAUUUCGAGUGCAAAGAAGGAUCCUCGUGUAGCUGAAAGCAGAUGCUACGAGGCAGGCAACACUACAUCAUGCGGAAACAAAUCUCUGAUAUCGAGCAGUCAAGUCAAUAGGAAAUUGGUUCAUGCUAGGCCUCGUCGCACAUCGACUUUUUCUUCUCUUUCAUCACCAAUCAGCAAGCGUAAGAGAAUUUUUAGCAGCAAUGACAACAAAAAUGAAGUCGGGAAGCGACUCGUCCAAGCAGCAAACAAGAUUUAUUCCUCUGUUAGUGCUGAAAAGUUGCCACAAUCCAGUGCUUCACAAUGUGCAUCCUAUAUUUGUUCAUCCAUUGGAUAAAAGGAAAUGUUCAUGCUUGCAUUCAAACUUCAAGUGUCAUUCAUCAUUCACAGUGCAAGUGGCCAUCCUGAGAAAAUACUUCUUCAAGAGCUUACCAAUUUCAAGAUGUCAAGAGGUUAGGUUCUUUUGCAGAAAAUACAGUAAUGAGAAGCUACAAAACAUCAUCUGCUGUUAACCCUCCCGCAAUAGAUACAUCUGUUACAGCAGGAAGGAGGCCCUGAAGAUGACAGUAUGACGCCACGUGUUUCGCGCGUUGUCGAACCGCUGAGGUUGAGUCUUGCUUCGUUCCUUUGACUUCUCUAUUGUUGAUCCACCUGAACCGUCUGAUCUCGAUCCGAAGGAUAAGCUGGUCGAAGAGAAGGCCACGUGAGCUCGUCUGACUAACGGAGUCGAGGUAUUCACUUUGACCGGUCGAUGACCACACGUGUCAUGGAUCUGCUCAAAGAUGGGGCUUCGAGCAACAUGAAGCGUCGAGUGGGGCCCACAUUUUAAUCAACGGCUUCUGAUGGGAGUUGUAAGAUCCUAUUUUAAUCAACGUCGAAUGGGGCCCACACGUGUCAUGGAUUUCUCACCACUCUCACGUGCUUCGCACGCGCACCUCGGAUUCUACCAUCGUCAGCCUGGGCUUGGAUACCUCUAGUUAAGGGGCAGAUGCUUCACCUUCCCCUCGUCUCUCCAUUCCGCUACCGUCGCCCUCGGCCCCGCAGCGGCUCACCCACCGGAGCCCACCGAUCGUCUCGUCUCGCGGUCUUUCCAGCGCUCGGAAUCGUCCCGUGGUCCACUAGUCCAAGAAGACGCCUCAUCCUUUAACUGCCAUCGCAAGAAGUUCCGAAUCAUGACGCGCGCGUCAUGAAGCAAUGGACAGCCCGAUGGUACGCUAGAGAUGCGGAGAGGAGGAGUAGAUCUUAGGGGAAGAGGGAAAGAAAACCCGCUUGCUCUUGUUUCUUUUGUGUUGUUAUUUUUUUGUUCUCUUCUCCUUGCGGAAGCUUUCCAAGAUUAGGGGAUUGCUUCUGGUUUUGAUCGGAUAACCCGAGCCGGGAAUCUGCCUUUGUAGCUUACACACUUCAUGAGCAAUACAUCCUGACUUUCUACUAUUGUUGUUUAUUGUAUUUUGAUCAUCUGAUUAAUUUAUGACUGAAGUUGAUUGCAUGCAUGUCUGCAUUUUGUGAUUCAAAUAUUUGAAGCUUGGUUUGCUGAGAUCCAUGAGGUUUUGACAUCAGUUAGUCAUCUACUGGGUUUCACCGACUUUUAUAAGAAUAAAAAAUCAUUGUGCUAGUUUUAGUGUGAUUACAAGUUCUUUUGUAUCUCUUUGUAAGUGUUCUUUGAUUUAUUUCUGCAUUUCGUAGAACCUUUGUGUUUUUUUUUUUUUUUUUUAAUAUGGCUCCGAUAUAUACCUACAGAAUCAUUUAUUACUGCAUGUAUUGAUUGUAUUGGGGACUGGUAGCUUGGUCUGUGUGUGUGUGUGCGUGUGUGUGUGUGACACUAAUUCAAGGACCAUAUCAUGAGGACUUAGCUAGGACUUGUGUAUAGCUAGGGUGGUUCGCAUGUUCUAGUUAUUGGAAGGGUUGCCUCGAUUCGGAAAAUAGCUUAGUCUAUAUGUGUGUGUGUGUGUGUGACACUAAUUCAAGGACCAUAUCAUGAGGACUUAGCUAGGACUUGUGUAUGGCUAGGGUGGUUCGCAUGUUUAGUUAUUGGAAGGGUUGCCUCGAUUCGGAAAAAGUGAUGUGAAUAGCAUAUUUAUAGCAUUUGUUGUCUUGACUACAUUAUGUACUUUGAAAUAACAUGCGCAUGUUGUACUAUGAGUCAUGUGAGGCACAUGGUCGCUUCGUGCUAUUGGUCCUUCCUACCAACCCCCGACCAAGUGAUCGAGUGAGAUCACCAAGUUGCAUGGGCAAUCUAGUAGGGAUGCAUAUCCAAACCGGGGAUGUAGGGACAUCUUUAUGAGUAAUAGUUAAAAAAUUACUAAAUGUGCAUUAUGAUUAAUGCACAUUAUGAUUAAUGCACACUGAAGAGACAGGUAAGUGUGAGUAGUGUCCAUGUCACGAGCAGAUGUAGUUAGUGGUCGUCGUAAAACAGAUGGUGGAAGAGGAGAUAGGCAGAUCUAGUCAGUUCACGAUGCAUCUAUGUUUUCAUCUAUUUUUCCAUGAUGUGAGUAAUGGCAAUAAAGGAGUCUUCGAUUCUACAUAUUUUUCUAUUUAGUCGCAUACUCUUUUCAGGCACUGAGUUGAAAACGUAGGGUUGAAACAGGCAACUGCUUCUUCCUUUUGCAGCACCUGGAUGAGGUUUUCUCCAUCAAGAAGUAGGAAUUUGUUCCUCUUAACUUUGUUUCUCGUUAAAUUAAAAUUCAUUUAUGUUGUGUA
Molecule: RNA transcript, 4054 nt
Organism: Musa acuminata AAA Group (dessert banana)
Lineage: Eukaryota; Viridiplantae; Streptophyta; Magnoliopsida; Zingiberales; Musaceae
Exons: 5
Source: RefSeq, a predicted model, not a curated record